UACGUAGGGGGCUAGCGUUGUCCGGAAUCAUUGGGCGUAAAGCGCGUGUAGGCGGUUCGAUAAGUCUGCUGUGAAAGUCCAGGGCUCAACCCUGGGAUGCCGGUGGAUACUGUCGAGCUAGAGUACGGAAGAGGCGAGUGGAAUUCCCGGUGUAGCGGUGAAAUGCGCAGAUAUCGGGAGGAACACCAAUUGCGAAGGCAGCUCGCUGGGACGUCACUGACGCUGAGACGCGAAAGCGUGGGGAGCAAACAGG
This 253-nucleotide ribosomal RNA is filed under the name uncultured bacterium. RNAcentral describes it as "partial 16S ribosomal RNA". It matches the Rfam family "Bacterial small subunit ribosomal RNA", at positions 524 to 776 of the family's 1533-position model. The record is from RNAcentral.